This 377-nucleotide unclassified non-coding RNA is filed under the name uncultured bacterium. Its description in RNAcentral is "contains 16S-23S intergenic spacer region". The record is from RNAcentral.
UCCGGUUUGUCACCGGCAGUCCCAUUAGAGUGCUCAACUGAAUGUAGCAACUAAUGGCAAGGGUUGCGCUCGUUGCGGGACUUAACCCAACAUCUCACGACACGAGCUGACGACGGCCAUGCAGCACCUGUCUCGCGAUUCCCGAAGGCACCCGGACAUUUCUGUCCAGUUCCGCGGAUGUCAAGGCCAGGUAAGGUUCUUCGCGUUGCGUCGAAUUAAACCACAUGCUCCACCGCUUGUGCGGGCCCCCGUCAAUUCCUUUGAGUUUCAGCCUUGCGGCCGUACUCCCCAGGCGGGGUGCUUAAUGCGUUAGCUUCGGCACGGAAGGGGUCGAUAUCCCCCCACACCUAGCACCCAUCGUUUACGGCUGGGACUAC